This 481-nucleotide ribosomal RNA is filed under the name uncultured bacterium. Its description in RNAcentral is "bacterial SSU rRNA". It matches the Rfam family "Bacterial small subunit ribosomal RNA", at positions 400 to 896 of the family's 1533-position model. The record is from RNAcentral.
CGUGAGUGAUGAAGGCCUUCGGGUCGUAAAACUCUUUUGAGAGAGACGAGCAAGGACGGUAUCUCUCGAAUAAGGUUCGGCUAACUACGUGCCAGCAGCCGCGGUAAAACGUAGGAACCGAGCGUUAUCCGGAUUCACUGGGUGUAAAGCGCGUGCAGGUGGCCUCGUAAGUUGGACGUGAAAUCUCCCGGCUUAACUGGGAGAGGCCGUUCAAUACUGCGGGGCUUGAGGGCAGGAGAGGGAGGUGGAAUUCCCGGUGUAGUGGUGAAAUGCGUAGAUAUCGGGAGGAACACCAGUGGCGAAGGCGGCCUCCUGGCCUGCUCCUGACACUGAGACGCGAAAGCUAGGGGAGCGAACGGGAUUAGAAACCCCGGUAGUCCUAGCUGUAAACGAUGGAUGCUAGGUGUCGGUGGUAUUGACCCCAUCGGUGCCGAAGCCAACGCGUUAAGCAUCCCACCUGGGGACUACGGCCGCAAGGUUA